AAUUCGAUUGAGUUUGAUCAUGGCUCAGAUUGAACGCUGGCGGCAUGCCUUACACAUGCAAGUCGAACGGCAGCACGGGGGCAACCCUGGUGGCGAGUGGCGAACGGGUGAGUAAUGCAUCGGAACGUGCCCAGUAGUGGGGGAUAACUAGUCGAAAGAUUAGCUAAUACCGCAUACGACCUAUGGGUGAAAGCGGGGGAUUCGCAAGAGCCUCGCGCUAUCGGAGCGGCCGAUGUCUGAUUAGCUAGUUGGCGGGGUAAAAGCCCACCAAGGCUUCGAUCAGUAGCUGGUCUGAGAGGACGACCAGCCACACUGGGACUGAGACACGGCCCAGACUCCUACGGGAGGCAGCAGUGGGGAAUUUUGGACAAUGGGCGCAAGCCUGAUCCAGCCAUGCCGCGUGCGGGAAGAAGGCCUUCGGGUUGUAAACCGCUUUUGGCAGGAACGAAACGGCGCGAGCGAAUAUCUCGCGUUAAUGACGGUACCUGCAGAAUAAGCACCGGCUAACUACGUGCCAGCAGCCGCGGUAAUACGUAGGGUGCAAGCGUUAAUCGGAAUUACUGGGCGUAAAGCGUACGCAGGCGGCUUUGCAAGACAGGUGUGAAAUCCCCGGGCCUAACCUGGGAACUGCAUUUGUGACUGCAUGGCUAGAGUUUGUCAGAGGGGGGUGGAAUUCCACGUGUAGCAGUGAAAUGCGUAGAUAUGUGGAGGAACACCGAUGGC
Molecule: ribosomal RNA, 723 nt
Filed under: uncultured bacterium
Lineage: Bacteria
Description: bacterial SSU rRNA
Rfam family: Bacterial small subunit ribosomal RNA
Source: RNAcentral